CCUGGUGCGUUUGGCGCGGCGGAACCACACCGACUCCAUCCCGAACUCGGAGGUGAAACGCUGCAGCGGCGAAGAUACUUGAGGGGUAGCCCUCUGGAAAAAUAGCUCCGUGCCAGGU
Molecule: ribosomal RNA, 118 nt
Filed under: Microcoleus sp. FACHB-672
Lineage: Bacteria; Bacillati; Cyanobacteriota; Cyanophyceae; Oscillatoriales; Microcoleaceae
Source: RNAcentral